CGUAAAGUGAAAGUAACUGUAUAUGUAUAUUGUAACUGAGUCUUAGUUUCGUAUCUUUUUGUUAACAGGUUUCUUUGGAGAGAAUAAAUACAAGAGACCUUGAAAAGUCGUCAAAGUUGUUCUUACCCAGCCUUUGGGGCUAAGAGGGUUACAAAUGGCGCCCACGUAAAAGUAUAACUUUCCAGAAACCAGGGGCUUGAUAUUCUUGAAGGCGCAAGGACCGGAAGCUGGGGACGGUUUCCGGUGGCUAGCUUACGCGACCCACUAGUCACAUUUAUAGUACAGCUGUAUCUGAAUUGGAGACGGGAGUGGACACGGUGUGUGGAGAGUCUUGGGCGAUGCGGGACAUCGCUGAAGGGAUAUACAAGGCGGAGAGAUGGAGACGGGAGACGGACUCCAAUGUGAUCGGUGAAGAACCGACGCAAGUGUGUUCUCAACGGACUUGUGUAGGAUCUGUCAUUCUGUGUUGACAUUUAUCUCGUUGUCGCUGGGCACUCCAGAUUUGUGUUUUGUGCUGCUGUUUUGAUAUUUUCAUGAACUGUGACUCUAUGAUGAUCGUGUAUGUUACGUGUAGAUAGUGAUGUAAAUAUGUACAACAGGAUGUUUUUGAUAGCCAGGGGCCUGUGAAGGACACCUGUAGAGCGGUGGGUUUGUAUAGACAUCCUCCCCCAUCAUUCAUCAUCCUUUAAUGUUGUAUGCACGCUGUCUUUCCCGCCACCAGAAUGGAAGGUUUCUUUGGAGAGAAUAAAUACAAGAGACCUUGAAAAGUCGUCAAAGUUGUUCUUACCCAGCCUUUGGGGCUAAGAGGGUUACAGGUAUAUGUCCAGUCGACGACAGUCACGCGUGGUUAUCAAUAAAACAAUACAAGGGCCUGGUACUGGUUAACAAGGAGGGUGUGGUCACAGAGACAGUAAAACUGGUCUUCUGUCCAGACAUGAUCACCAUGGUCGGGACAACAGACAUACUUUUGACCAGUCUUCAAGUUAAUUCAUUUGUAUAUAAACUGUCACUACACAACAAACAAGUGACAACAUUUGCUGAGACCACAUAAGACAUGGGACGUCAGUAUCAACGAGAGUGGCGAGGUGAUUAUUACUACAGGUACACCAGACAUAGUGGUACUGAAUCAGUCAGGUACGAUUGUGAGGAAGGUCACGAUAGGAUCAGAAAGAAUAGUGUUCGUUGUCUGCUUGUCAUCGGGACGUCUGUGUGUAGUUCAAACAAUUGGAGGAAAGUCGGCUGAUAAGAAUAUAAAGAUAACAGACGAGUCAGGUACCGUCAUACAGACAUGGACUGGUGAACUCGACAACGGUCAAAAGGUCGGUAGUAUGGACCUCGGUAAGAUGUCGUGUGAUAAGUACGAUAGAAUCUUUGUACCAGAUUACAAGAACAGUCAGGUGUACGUCCUACCGAAAGACGGGAAACAAGCUGUGUGUCUCCUGAACCAUAAACAUAGUGUUGAAACCUACAGCGGUGGAUGUAGACACGUGUGGUAACGUGUGGAUCGGGUGUUAUAGCGGUACCGUACACGUGAUGGGACUGUAACAUGAGGAAAUUGUGAUAUACGGUACAUUUGUGCUCGUGGUACAAUACAUUGUAGAUCACCGAUGUAUGAAGUCUGAAGUAUCCUCAAAUAAACAGUGAGUGCAUUUUUAUGACCGUGGUAAUCAGACAAUCACAAGUAACUAGAAUGUUUAAUGACAACCGACAUCACAUGGUGAACGAAUAAUAAAUUAUAAGUGAGAUGUAUCCAAGAUUUUGUUGUGUAUAUGUGUGUUGUUGUUUGUUUAGGUUCUUUUCAUUUGGAUUAAUUUCAUUUCAUCUUAGGAGGGAGAGAUUGAGAG
This 1844-nucleotide unclassified non-coding RNA is filed under the name Mizuhopecten yessoensis (Yesso scallop). RNAcentral's name for it is "uncharacterized LOC110442077, transcript variant X1". Lineage: Eukaryota; Metazoa; Mollusca; Bivalvia; Pectinida; Pectinidae. The record is from RNAcentral.